Molecule: ribosomal RNA, 475 nt
Filed under: uncultured bacterium
Lineage: Bacteria
Description: partial 16S ribosomal RNA
Rfam family: Bacterial small subunit ribosomal RNA
Source: RNAcentral
AGCGAACGCUGGCGGCAGGCCUAACACAUGCAAGUCGAACGAACCUUUCGGGGUUAGUGGCGGACGGGUGAGUAACACGUGGGAACGUGCCUUUAGGUUCGGAAUAACUCAGGGAAACUUGUGCUAAUACCGAAUGUGCCCUUCGGGGGAAAGAUUUAUCGCCUUUAGAGCGGCCCGCGUCUGAUUAGCUAGUUGGUUGAGGUAAUGGCUCACCAAGGCGACGAUCAGUAGCUGGUCUGAGAGGAUGAUCAGCCACAUUGGGACUGAGACACGGCCCAAACGCUUGAGGGGGGCAGCAGUGGGGAAUCUGGCGGAAUGGGAGAAAGCGCGACGCAGCGAUGCCGUGUGAAGGAUGAAGGUCUUAGUGUUAUAAUAUUCUUUCACGGGGUAAGAUAAUGAGGGCACCCGGAGAAGAAGCCCCGGCUAACUUCGUGCCAGCAGCCGCGGUAAUACGCGGAGGAGCACACGUCUGACC